AGGUGGAGUUGAAACAAGUUUACUAAUUCACAUAGUGACCUCAAUCAACAGGAUUCCAAGUAUUGCACAAGACAAACAGUUUGAUUAAAGCACACAUGAAGCACAAACUCAAGCACGCGAAAGCAUUAAGGUUAUCAGCUCCGGUGGUCGGAGAAAUGUCGGCAGCUCCAGGAUUUGACCUCCAUCACAACA
Molecule: long non-coding RNA, 192 nt
Organism: Neltuma alba
Lineage: Eukaryota; Viridiplantae; Streptophyta; Magnoliopsida; Fabales; Fabaceae
Exons: 2
Source: RefSeq, a predicted model, not a curated record